UACGGAGGGUGCAAGCGUUAUCCGGAAUCACUGGGCGUAAAGGGCGCGUAGGCGGCCUGUUAAGUCCGAUGUUAAAGACUGGGGCUCAACCCCAGCAUUGCGUUGGAUACUGGCAGGCUUGACGGUUGGAGAGGCGAGCGGAAUUACCAGUGUAGCGGUGAAAUGCGUAGAUACUGGUAGGAACACCCAUUGCGAAGGCAGCUCGCUGGACAACACGUGAGGCUGAGGCGCGAAAGUGUGGGGAGCAAACCGGAUUAGAUACCCCGGUA
RNAcentral lists this ribosomal RNA (269 nucleotides) under uncultured prokaryote. Its description in RNAcentral is "partial 16S ribosomal RNA". It matches the Rfam family "Bacterial small subunit ribosomal RNA", at positions 524 to 792 of the family's 1533-position model. The record is from RNAcentral.